RNAcentral lists this ribosomal RNA (374 nucleotides) under uncultured organism. Its description in RNAcentral is "partial 16S ribosomal RNA". It matches the Rfam family "Bacterial small subunit ribosomal RNA", at positions 527 to 896 of the family's 1533-position model. The record is from RNAcentral.
GGAGGGCGCAAGCGUUGUUCGGAAUCAUUGGGCGUAAAGCGCGUGUAGGCGGUCUGGUCAGUCGGAUGUGAAAGCCCGGGGCCCAACCCCGGAAUUGCAUUCGAAACUGCCAGGCUAGAGUCCCGGAGGGGAGAGCGGGAUUCCCGGUGUAGAGGUGAAAUUCGUAGAUAUCGGGAGGAACACCAGUGGCGAAGGCGGCUCUCUGGACGGUGACUGACGCUCAGACGCGAAAGCGUGGGGAGCAAACAGGGAUUAGAUACCCUGGUAGUCCACGCCGUAAACGUUGGGUGCUAGGCGUCGGAGGUAUUGACCCCCCUCGAUGCCCGAAGUUAACGCAUUAAGCACCCCGCCUGGGGAGUACGGUCGCAAGGCUA